GUUGUUCAAGUGAUAUAUAACUGAAAUUAUACAGAAAAUUUAGUUUCUAAUAUGGAGCUGUUUUUGAUAUAUAGCGUCGAAUUCAAUUUCCACUUUAAAGCCCCCCCAUUGAGUAUGAGAGCCCCCCUGAAAAUAAAGUUUUUUUUAUUUGUUUAUGCAAUAUUCGGCUCAAGGCCAUCAGUUUAGAUAUUAUGUUUAAAUUUGAAGUAAUUACGUUCGGUAAUUCAGAAGCUAUAAGGUUCUGGUAGAGACGGACGGACGGCCAAGUGCAAUUUCACUCAAGUAGACUCAGAGACCUCGCUUCGCUCGGUCAAUUAAGACAAGUCUAAAUAUUACU
Molecule: long non-coding RNA, 337 nt
Organism: Maniola jurtina (meadow brown)
Lineage: Eukaryota; Metazoa; Arthropoda; Insecta; Lepidoptera; Nymphalidae
Exons: 3
Source: RefSeq, a predicted model, not a curated record